AGUUUGAUCCUGGCUCAGAUUGAACGCUGGCGGCAUGCCUUACACAUGCAAGUCGAACGGCAGCGGACCUUCGGGUGCCGGCGAGUGGCGAACGGGUGAGUAAUGCAUCGGAACGUGCCAUUGAGUGGGGGAUAACGUAGCGAAAGUUACGCUAAUACCGCAUAUUCUGUGAGCAGGAAAGCAGGGGACCGCAAGGCCUUGCGCUCUUUGAGCGGCCGAUGUCAGAUUAGCUAGUUGGUGAGGUAAAGGCUUACCAAGGCGACGAUCUGUAGCGGGUCUGAGAGGAUGAUCCGCCACACUGGAACUGAGACACGGUCCAGACUCCUACGGGAGGCAGCAGUGGGGAAUUUUGGACAAUGGGCGCAAGCCUGAUCCAGCCAUGCCGCGUGAGUGAAGAAGGCCUUCGGGUUGUAAAGCUCUUUCGGCCGGGAAGAAAUCGCAUGGGUUAAUACCCUGUGUGGAUGACGGUACCGGAAUAAGAAGCACCGGCUAACUACGUG
This 500-nucleotide ribosomal RNA is filed under the name uncultured bacterium. Its description in RNAcentral is "bacterial SSU rRNA". It matches the Rfam family "Bacterial small subunit ribosomal RNA", at positions 10 to 507 of the family's 1533-position model. The record is from RNAcentral.